This 253-nucleotide ribosomal RNA is filed under the name uncultured bacterium. RNAcentral describes it as "partial 16S ribosomal RNA". It matches the Rfam family "Bacterial small subunit ribosomal RNA", at positions 524 to 776 of the family's 1533-position model. The record is from RNAcentral.
UACGAAGGGUGCAAGCGUUAAUCGGAAUUACUGGGCGUAAAGCGUGCGUAGGCGGUUGCUUAAGUCAGGUGUGAAAGCCCCGGGCUCAACCUGGGAACUGCAUUGGAAACUAACGGGCUCGAGUGUGGCAGAGGGGGGUGGAAUUCCACGUGUAGCAGUGAAAUGCGUAGAGAUGUGGAGGAACACCGAUGGCGAAGGCAGCCCCCUGGGCUAACACUGACGCUCAGGCACGAAAGCGUGGGGAGCAAACAGG